This 1343-nucleotide ribosomal RNA is filed under the name uncultured bacterium. RNAcentral describes it as "16S ribosomal RNA". It matches the Rfam family "Bacterial small subunit ribosomal RNA", at positions 28 to 1378 of the family's 1533-position model. The record is from RNAcentral.
GACGAACGCUGGCGGCGUGCUUAACACAUGCAAGUCGAACGGAAAGGCCCUGCUUUUGUGGGGUGCUCGAGUGGCGAACGGGUGAGUAACACGUGAGUAACCUGCCCUUGACUUUGGGAUAACUUCAGGAAACUGGGGCUAAUACCGGAUAGGAGCUCCUGCUGCAUGGUGGGGGUUGGAAAGUUUCGGCGGUUGGGGAUGGACUCGCGGCUUAUCAGCUUGUUGGUGGGGUAGUGGCUUACCAAGGUUUUGACGGGUAGCCGGCCUGAGAGGGUGACCGGCCACAUUGGGACUGAGAUACGGCCCAGACUCCUACGGGAGGCAGCAGUGGGGAAUAUUGCACAAUGGGCGGAAGCCUGAUGCAGCAACGCCGCGUGCGGGAUGACGGCCUUCGGGUUGUAAACCGCUUUCGCCUGUGACGAAGCGUGAGUGACGGUAAUGGGUAAAGAAGCACCGGCUAACUACGUGCCAGCAGCCGCGGUGAUACGUAGGGUGCGAGCGUUGUCCGGAUUUAUUGGGCGUAAAGGGCUCGUAGGUGGUUGAUCGCGUCGGAAGUGUAAUCUUGGGGCUUAACCCUGAGCGUGCUUUCGAUACGGGUUGACUUGAGGAAGGUAGGGGAGAAUGGAAUUCCUGGUGGAGCGGUGGAAUGCGCAGAUAUCAGGAGGAACACCAGUGGCGAAGGCGGUUCUCUGGGCCUUUCCUGACGCUGAGGAGCGAAAGCGUGGGGAGCGAACAGGCUUAGAUACCCUGGUAGUCCACGCUGUAAACGGUGGGUACUAGGUGUGGGGUCCAUUCCACGGGUUCCGUGCCGUAGCUAACGCUUUAAGUACCCCGCCUGGGGAGUACGGCCGCAAGGCUAAAACUCAAAGGAAUUGACGGGGCCCCGCACAAGCGGCGGAGCAUGCGGAUUAAUUCGAUGCAACGCGUAGAACCUUACCUGGGUUUGACAUGGAUCGGGAGUGCUCAGAGAUGGGUGUGCCUCUUUUGGGGUCGGUUCACAGGUGGUGCAUGCCUGUCGUCAGCUCGUGUCGUGAGAUGUUGGGUUAAGUCCCGCAACGAGCGCAACCCUUGUUCACUGUUGCCAGCACGUUAUGGUGGGGACUCAGUGGAGACCGCCGGGGUCAACUCGGAGGAAGGUGGGGAUGACGUCAAGUCAUCAUGCCCCUUAUGUCCAGGGCUUCACGCAUGCUACAAUGGCUGGUACAGAGAGAGGCGAGCCUGUGAGGGUGAGCGAAUCUCGGAAAGCCGGUCUCAGUUCGGAUUGGGGUCUGCAACUCGACCUCAUGAAGUCGGAGUCGCUAGUAAUCGCAGAUCAGCAACGCUGCGGUGAAUACGUUCCCGGG